GACGAACGCUGGCGGCGUGCCUAAUACAUGCAAGUCGAACGCACUCUCGUUUAGAUUGAAGGAGUUUGCUCCUGAUUGAUAAACAUUUGAGUGAGUGGCGGACGGGUGAGUAACACGUGGGUAACCUGCCCUAAAGUGGGGGAUAACAUUUGGAAACAGAUGCUAAUACCGCAUAAAACCUAACACCGCAUGGUGUAGGGUUGAAAGAUGGUUUCGGCUAUCACUUUAGGAUGGACCCGCGGUGCAUUAGUUAGUUGGUGAGGUAAAGGCUCACCAAGACCGUGAUGCAUAGCCGACCUGAGAGGGUAAUCGGCCACCCUGGGACUGAGACACGGCCCAGACUCCUACGGGAGGCAGCAGUAGGGAAUCUUCCACAAUGGACGAAAGUCUGAUGGAGCAACGCCGCGUGAGUGAAGAAGGUUUUCGGAUCGUAAAACUCUGUUGUUGGAGAAGAAUGUAUCUGAUAGUAACUGAUCAGGUAGUGACGGUAUCCAACCAGAAAGCCACGGCUAACUACGUG
RNAcentral lists this ribosomal RNA (520 nucleotides) under uncultured bacterium. Its description in RNAcentral is "partial 16S ribosomal RNA". It matches the Rfam family "Bacterial small subunit ribosomal RNA", at positions 28 to 507 of the family's 1533-position model. The record is from RNAcentral.